This 786-nucleotide ribosomal RNA is filed under the name uncultured Methylocystaceae bacterium. Its description in RNAcentral is "bacterial SSU rRNA". It matches the Rfam family "Bacterial small subunit ribosomal RNA", at positions 37 to 872 of the family's 1533-position model. Lineage: Bacteria; Pseudomonadati; Pseudomonadota; Alphaproteobacteria; Hyphomicrobiales; Methylocystaceae. The record is from RNAcentral.
AGGCCGCGGCCUAACCUGCGAGUCGAGCGCCUGUAGCAAUACAGGAGCGGCAGACGGGAGAGUAACACGUGGGAACGUACCUUUCAGUUCGGAACAACCAAGGGAAACUUUGGCUAAUACCGGAUACGCCCGUAAGGGGAAAGAUUUAUCGCUGAAAGAUCGGCCCGCGUCUGAUUAGCUAGUUGGUGAGGUAACGGCUCACCAAGGCUACGAUCAGUAGCUGGUCUGAGAGGAUGAUCAGCCUCAUUGGGACUGAGACACGGUCCAAACUCCUACGGGAGGCAGCAGUGGGGAAUAUUGGACAAUGGGCGCAAGCCUGAUCCAGCCAUGCCGCGUGAGUGAUGAAGGCCUUAGGGUUGUAAAGCUCUUUCGGCGGGGACGAUAAUGACGGUACCCGCAGAAGAAGCCCCGGCUAACUUCGUGCCAGCAGCCGCGGUAAUACGAAGGGGGCUAGCGUUGCUCGGAAUCACUGGGCGUAAAGCGCACGUAGGCGGAUCUUUAAGUCAGGGGUGAAAUCCCAAGGCUCAGCCUUGGAACUGCCUUUGAUACUGGGGAUCUCGAGUCCGGAAGAGGUUGGUGGAACUGCGAGUGUAGAGGUGAAAUUCGUAGAUAUUCGCAAGAACACCAGUGGCGAAGGCGGCCAACUGGUCCGGUACUGACGCUGAGGUGCGAAAGCGUGGGGAGCAAACAGGAUUAGAUACCCUGGUAGUCCACGCCGUAAACGAUGGAUGCUAGCUGUUGGACAGCUUGCUGUUCAGUGGCGCAGUAACCCUUUAAGCAUCCCGC